This 433-nucleotide ribosomal RNA is filed under the name uncultured bacterium. RNAcentral's name for it is "bacterial SSU rRNA". It matches the Rfam family "Bacterial small subunit ribosomal RNA", at positions 343 to 793 of the family's 1533-position model. The record is from RNAcentral.
UGGAGGCAGCAGUGGGGAAUCUUGCACAAUGGGGGCAACCCUGAUGCAGCGACGCCGCGUGAGCGAUGAAGCCCUUCGGGGUGUAAAGCUCUUUCGGCCGGAACGAUGAUGACGGUACCGGCAGAAGAAGCUGCGGCUAACUACGUGCCAGCAGCCGCGGUAAUACGUAGGCAGCGAGCGUUGUUCGGAGUUACUGGGCGUAAAGAGUGCGUAGGCGGUGCUCUAAGUUUGGUGUGAAAUCUCCCGGCUCAACUGGGAGGGUGCGCCGAAAACUGGAGUGCUCGAGUGUGGGAGAGGUAAGCGGAAUUCCUGGUGUAGCGGUGAAAUGCGUAGAUAUCAGGAGGAACACCUGCGGUGUAGACGGCUUACUGGACCAUGACUGACGCUGAGGCACGAAAGCGUGGGUAGCAAACAGGAUUAGAUACCCCCGUAC